GACGAACGCUGGCGGCGUGCUUAACACAUGCAAGUCGAACGGAAAGGCCCUGCUUUUGUGGGGUGCUCGAGUGGCGAACGGGUGAGUAACACGUGAGUAACCUGCCCUUGACUUUGGGAUAACUUCAGGAAACUGGGGCUAAUACCGGAUAGGAGCUCCUGCUGCAUGGUGGGGGUUGGAAAGUUUCGGCGGUUGGGGAUGGACUCGCGGCUUAUCAGCUUGUUGGUGGGGUAGUGGCUUACCAAGGCUUUGACGGGUAGCCGGCCUGAGAGGGUGACCGGCCACAGUGGCACUGAGAUACGGCCCAGACUCCUACGGGAGGCAGCAGUGGGGAAUAUUGCACAAUGGGCGGAAGCCUGAUGGAGCAACGCCGCGUGCGGGAUGACGGCCUUCGGGUUGUAAACCGCUUUCGCCUGUGACGAAGCGUGAGGGACGGUAAUGGGUAAAGAAGCACCGGCGAACUACGG
RNAcentral lists this ribosomal RNA (467 nucleotides) under uncultured bacterium. RNAcentral describes it as "partial 16S ribosomal RNA". It matches the Rfam family "Bacterial small subunit ribosomal RNA", at positions 28 to 506 of the family's 1533-position model. The record is from RNAcentral.